AUUGAACGCUGGCGGCAGGCCUAACACAUGCAAGUCGAGCGGCAGCGACUUAACUGAACUUCGGGGAACGUUAAGGGCGGCGAGCGGCGGACGGGUGAGUAAUGCCUGGGAAUAUGCCCUGAUGUGGGGGAUAACUAUUGGAAACGAUAGCUAAUACCGCAUAAUCUCUUCGGAGCAAAGAGGGGGACCUUCGGGCCCCUCGCGUCAGGAUUAGCCCAGGUGGGAUUAGCUUGUUGGUGAGGUAAUGGCUCACCAAGGCAACGAUCCCUAGCUGGUCUGAGAGGAUGAUCAGCCACACUGGAACUGAGACACGGUCCAGACUCCUACGGGAGGCAGCAGUGGGGAAUAUUGCACAAUGGGGGAAACCCUGAUGCAGCCAUGCCGCGUGUGUGAAGAAGGCCUUCGGGUUGUAAAGCACUUUCAGUAGGGAGGAAGGUAGUGUAGUUAACACCUGCAUUAUUUGACGUUACCUACAGAAGAAGCACCGGCUAACUCCGUGCCAGCAGCCGCGGUAAUACGGAGGGUGCGAGCGUUAAUCGGAAUUACUGGGCGUAAAGCGCAUGCAGGCGGCCUGUUAAGUCAGAUGUGAAAGCCCGGGGCUUAACCUCGGAAUUGCAUUUGAAACUGGCAGGCUAGAGUCUUGUAGAGGGGGGUAGAAUUUCAGGUGUAGCGGUGAAAUGCGUAGAGAUCUGAAGGAAUACCAGUGGCGAAGGCGGCCCCCUGGACAAAGACUGACGCUCAGAUGCGAAAGCGUGGGGAGCAAACAGG
Molecule: ribosomal RNA, 768 nt
Filed under: uncultured bacterium
Lineage: Bacteria
Description: bacterial SSU rRNA
Rfam family: Bacterial small subunit ribosomal RNA
Source: RNAcentral